GAUGAACGCUGGCGGCGUGCCUAAUACAUGCAAGUCGAGCGAACAGACGAGGAGCUUGCUCCUCUGACGUUAUCGGCGGACGGGUGAGUAACACGUGGAUAACCUACCUAUAAGACUGGGAUAACUUCGGGAAACCGGAUCUAAUACCGGAUAAUAUAUUGAACCUCAUUGUUCAAUAGUGAAAGACGGUUUUGCUGUCACUUAUAGAUGGAUCCGCGCCGCAUGAGCUAGUUGGUAAGGUAACGGCUUACCAAGGCGACGAUGCGUAGCCGACCUGAGCGGGUGAUCGGACAGACGGGAAGAGAGAAACGGCACAGACACCUACGGGGGGAAGCAGUAGGGAAUCUUACGGAAUGGGGCAGAGCCUGACGGAGCAAAGUCGGGGGAGUGAUGAAGGUGUUCGGAUCGGAAAACUAUGAUAUUAGGGAAGAACAAAUGUGUAAGUAACUAGGAACGUCUUGACGGUACCUAAUCAGAAAGCCACGGCUAACUACGUG
This 497-nucleotide ribosomal RNA is filed under the name uncultured bacterium. Its description in RNAcentral is "partial 16S ribosomal RNA". It matches the Rfam family "Bacterial small subunit ribosomal RNA", at positions 28 to 507 of the family's 1533-position model. The record is from RNAcentral.